Molecule: non-coding RNA, 113 nt
Organism: Acanthosepion pharaonis
Lineage: Eukaryota; Metazoa; Mollusca; Cephalopoda; Sepiida; Sepiidae
Source: the annotation of a GenBank genome assembly
GACAGUCACAUCAGGUUGAAACACCAGUUUUCAUACAAUCACUGAAGUUAAGCAACAUCAAACCUGAUCAGUACCUAGAUGGGUGACCACUUGGGAAUACUAGGUGCUGUAUG